UACAGAGGUGGCAAGCGUUGUUCGGAUUCAUUGGGCGUAAAGGGUGUGUAGGUGGCGCCGUAAGUCGGGUGUGAAAUUUCGGAGCUUAACUCCGAAACUGCAUUCGAUACUGCGGUGCUUGAGGACUGGAGAGGAGACUGGAAUUCAUGGUGUAGCAGUGAAAUGCGCAGAUAUCAGGAGGAACACCGGUGGCGAAGGCGGGUCUCUGGGCCGUAACUGACGCUGAGGAGCGAAAGCAUGGGGAGCGAACAGG
RNAcentral lists this ribosomal RNA (253 nucleotides) under uncultured bacterium. Its description in RNAcentral is "partial 16S ribosomal RNA". It matches the Rfam family "Bacterial small subunit ribosomal RNA", at positions 524 to 776 of the family's 1533-position model. The record is from RNAcentral.